GUGGAUUAGAUACCCUAGUAGUCCAUGCCGUAAACGUUGGGCGCUAGGUGUGGGGCACAUUCCACGUGUUCUGCGCCGCAGCUAACGCAUUAAGCGCCCCGCCUGGGGAGUACGGCCGCAAGGCUAAAACUCAAAGGAAUUGACGGGGGCCCGCACAAGCGGCGGAGCAUGCGGAUUAAUUCGAUGCAACGCGAAGAACCUUACCAAGGCUUGACAUGGGGUGAAAACUCGUGGAGACACGGGGUCCGCAAGGGCGCCUCACAGGUGGUGCACGGUUGUCGACAGCU
RNAcentral lists this ribosomal RNA (287 nucleotides) under uncultured bacterium. RNAcentral's name for it is "partial 16S ribosomal RNA". It matches the Rfam family "Bacterial small subunit ribosomal RNA", at positions 773 to 1060 of the family's 1533-position model. The record is from RNAcentral.